GUGCACCAGGCGCGAAACCUUCGCAAUGCGGGAAACCGCGACGAGGGGACUCCCAGUGCCUACGCUCAGCGUAGGCUGUUCCCGAGCCUAGAAAGCUCGGGGAGUAAGGGCUGGGUAAGACGGGUGCCAGCCGCCGCGGUAAUACCCGCAGCCCGAGUGGUGGCCACUAUUAUUGGGCCUAAAGCGUCCGUAGCCGGCCCGGUAAAUGCCUGGGUAAAUCGUGAGGCCUAACCUCACGAAUUCCGGGUAGACUGCCGGGCUAGGGGACCGGAGGAGGGAGAGGGUACUCCAGGGGUAGGGGUGAAAUCCUGUAAUCCCUGGAGGACCACCGGUGGCGAAGGCGCUCUCCUAGGACGGGUCCGACGGUGAGGGACGAAAGCCAGGGGAGCGAACCGGAUUAGAUACCCGUGUAGU
Molecule: ribosomal RNA, 414 nt
Filed under: uncultured microorganism
Description: bacterial SSU rRNA
Rfam family: Archaeal small subunit ribosomal RNA
Source: RNAcentral